UACGUAGGCAGCGAGCGUUGUUCGGAGUUACUGGGCGUAAAGGGUGUGUAGGCGGUUCUUUAAGUUUAGUGUGAAAUCUCCCGGCUCAACCGGGAGGGUGCGCUGAAUACUGAGGGACUAGAGUGCGGCAGAGGGGGGUGGAAUUCCACGUGUAGCGGUGAAAUGCGUAGAUAUGUGGAGGAACACCGAUGGCGAAGGCAGCCCCCUGGGUCGACACUGACGCUCAUGCACAAAAGCGUGGGGAGCAAACAGG
Molecule: ribosomal RNA, 253 nt
Filed under: uncultured bacterium
Lineage: Bacteria
Description: partial 16S ribosomal RNA
Rfam family: Bacterial small subunit ribosomal RNA
Source: RNAcentral